Molecule: ribosomal RNA, 504 nt
Filed under: uncultured bacterium
Lineage: Bacteria
Description: partial 16S ribosomal RNA
Rfam family: Bacterial small subunit ribosomal RNA
Source: RNAcentral
AGUGAACGCUGGCGGUAGGCCUAACACAUGCAAGUCGAACGGCAGCAUGGGUGCUUGCACCUGAUGGCGAGUGGCGAACGGGUGAGUAAUGUAUCGGAACAUAUCCGCAAGUGGGGGAUAACGUAGCGAAAGUUACGCUAAUACCGCAUAUUCCCCGAGGGGGAAAGGAGGGGAUCCGCAAGGACCUUUCGCUUACGGAGUGGCCGAUAUCAGAUUAGCUAGUGGGUGAGGUAAAGGCUCACCAAGGCGACGAUCUGUAGCGGGUCUGAGAGGAUGAUCCGCCACACUGGGACUGAGACACGGCCCAGACUCCUACGGGAGGCAGCAGUGGGGAAUUUUGGACAAUGGGGGCAACCCUGAUCCAGCCAUGCCGCGUGAGUGAAGAAGGCCUUCGGGUUGUAAAGCUCUUUCAGCCGGAAAAAAAUCGCAUCACCUAAUACGUGGUGUGGAUGAUGGUACCGGAAGAAGAAGCACCGGCUAACUACGUGCCAGCCGCCGCCGUAA